AUACAGAAGGCCCGAGCGUUAAUCAGAAUUACUGGGCUUAAAGCGUGCGCAGGCGGUCCAGAAAGUAUCUCGUGAAAUCCCUCGGCUCAACCGGGGAACUGCGGGGUAAACUUCUGGACUUGAGAAAGGUAGGGGCUGAUGGAACCAUGAGUGGAGCGGUGAAAUGCGUAGAUAUUCAUGGGAACGCCGAUGGGGAAGCCGAUCAGCUGGGCCUUUUCUGACGCUCAUGUACGAAAGCGUGGGGAGCAAACAGGAUUAGAAACCCUAGUAGUCC
This 274-nucleotide ribosomal RNA is filed under the name uncultured bacterium. RNAcentral describes it as "partial 16S ribosomal RNA". It matches the Rfam family "Bacterial small subunit ribosomal RNA", at positions 523 to 796 of the family's 1533-position model. The record is from RNAcentral.